RNAcentral lists this unclassified non-coding RNA (230 nucleotides) under rhizosphere metagenome. Its description in RNAcentral is "partial ribosomal RNA internal transcribed spacer region". The record is from RNAcentral.
GUAGGUGAACCUGCGGAAGGAUCAUUACCGAGUGAGGGCCCUCUGGGUCCAACCUCCCACCCGUGUUUAUUUACCUUGUUGCUUCGGCGGGCCCGCCUUAACUGGCCGCCCGGGGGCGUGAGCCCCCCGGCCCGCGCCCGCCGAAGACACCCUCGAACUCUGUCUGAAGAUUGUAGUCUGAGUGAAAAUAUAAAUUAUUUAAAACUUUCAACAACGGAUCUCUUGGUUCG